UGCAGUGGGUACGGGCAGACUAGAGUGCGGUAGGGGAGAUUGGAAUUCCUGGUGUAGCGGUGGAAUGCGCAGAUAUCAGGAGGAACACCGAUGGCGAAGGCAGAUCUCUGGGCCGUAACUGACGCUGAGGAGCGAAAGCAUGGGGAGCGAACAGGAUUAGAUACCCUGGUAGUCCAUGCCGUAAACGUUGGGAACUAGAUGUGGGGACCAUUCCACGGUCUCCGUGUCGCAGCUAACGCAUUAAGUUCCCCGCCUGGGGAGUACGGCCGCAAGGCUAAAACUCAAAGGAAUUGACGGGGGCCCGCACAAGCGGCGGAGCAUGCGGAUUAAUUCGAUGCAACGCGAAGAACCUUACCAAGGCUUGACAUAUACCGGAAACGGCCAGAGAUGGUCGCCCCGCAAGGUCGGUAUACAGGUGGUGCAUGGUUGUCGUCAGCUCGUGUCGUGAGAUGUUGGGUUAAGUCCCGCAACGAGCGCAACCCUCGUUCUAUGUUGCCAGCACGUUAUGGUGGGAACUCAUAGGAGACUGCCGGGGUCAACUCGGAGGAAGGUGGGGAUGACGUCAAAUCAUCAUGCCCCUUAUGUCUUGGGCUUCACGCAUGCUACAAUGGCCGGUACAAAGGGCUGCGAUACCGUAAGGUGGAGCGAAUCCCAAAAAGCCGGUCUCAGUUCGGAUUGAGGUCUGCAACUCGACCUCAUGAAGUCGGAGUCGCUAGUAAUCGCAGAUCAGCAACGCUGCGGUGAAUACGUUCCCGGGCCUUGUACACACCGCCCGUCAAGUCAUGAAAGUCGGUAACACCCGAAGCCAGUGGCCUAACCCCUUGUGGGAUGGAGCUGUCGAAGGUGGGAUCGGUGAUUAGGACUAAGUC
RNAcentral lists this ribosomal RNA (869 nucleotides) under Frigoribacterium sp. Its description in RNAcentral is "bacterial SSU rRNA". It matches the Rfam family "Bacterial small subunit ribosomal RNA", at positions 622 to 1487 of the family's 1533-position model. The record is from RNAcentral. Lineage: Bacteria; Bacillati; Actinomycetota; Actinomycetes; Micrococcales; Microbacteriaceae.